GACGAACGCUGGCGGCGUGCUUAACACAUGCAAGUCGAACGGAAAGGCCCUGCUUUUGUGGGGUGCUCGAGUGGCGAACGGGUGAGUAACACGUGAGUAACCUGCCCUUGACUUUGGGAUAACUUCAGGAAACUGGGGCUAAUACCGGAUAGGAGCUCCUGCUGCAUGGUGGGGGUUGGAAAGUUUCGGCGGUUGGGGAUGGACUCGCGGCUUAUCAGCUUGUUGGUGGGGUAGUGGCUUACCAAGGCUUUGACGGGUAGCCGGCCUGAGAGGGUGACCGGCCACAUUGGGACUGAGAUACGGCCCAGACUCCUACGGGAGGCAGCAGUGGGGAAUAUUGCACAAUGGGCGGAAGCCUUAUGCAGCAACGCCGCGUGCGGGAUGACGGCCGUCGGGUUGUAAACCGCUUUCGCCUGUGACGAAGCGUGAGUGACGGUAAUGGGUAAAGAAGCACCGGCUAACUACGUG
RNAcentral lists this ribosomal RNA (468 nucleotides) under uncultured bacterium. Its description in RNAcentral is "partial 16S ribosomal RNA". It matches the Rfam family "Bacterial small subunit ribosomal RNA", at positions 28 to 507 of the family's 1533-position model. The record is from RNAcentral.